GGAGAGGUGUCCGAGUGGUUGAAGGAGCUGGCCUCGAAAGUCAGUGUAGUUAUAUAGCUACCGUGGGUUCGAAUCCCACCCUCUCUGCCA
This 90-nucleotide transfer RNA is filed under the name Shimazuella alba. RNAcentral describes it as "Shimazuella sp. KC615 tRNA-Ser". It matches the Rfam family "tRNA". From Rfam's summary of the family: Transfer RNA (tRNA) molecules are approximately 80 nucleotides in length. Their secondary structure includes four short double-helical elements and three loops (D, anti-codon, and T loops). Further hydrogen bonds mediate the characteristic L-shaped molecular structure. tRNAs have two regions of fundamental functional importance: the anti-codon, which is responsible for specific mRNA codon recognition, and the 3' end, to which the tRNAs corresponding amino acid is attached (by aminoacyl-tRNA synthetases). tRNAs cope with the degeneracy of the genetic code in two manners: having more than one tRNA (with a specific anti-codon) for a particular amino acid; and 'wobble' base-pairing, i.e. permitting non-standard base-pairing at the 3rd anti-codon position. The record is from RNAcentral. Lineage: Bacteria; Bacillati; Bacillota; Bacilli; Caryophanales; Thermoactinomycetaceae.